Non-coding RNA from Dermatophagoides farinae (American house dust mite), 1246 nucleotides. Lineage: Eukaryota; Metazoa; Arthropoda; Arachnida; Sarcoptiformes; Pyroglyphidae. The record is from RefSeq and is a predicted model, not a curated record.
GUUUAAUAUAAAACAUGGCACCAGGUGUAUCAUAUAGCCGAAGCUCGAAUGCAUGAACAUGUUGUUUGGUCAAUGCCGGUAUCGAUGGGCUACUAUCCAUUAUGAUGAACCAAAUGGACAGUAUGAUGGUCACUACAGAUAAUACGAUAGCCAACCACAUUGGACGAUAUGAUUGUCGAACCUUAUUUGUGAUUAUUGAAUCUAGUAUCAAACAUAAUAUGUUGAAUAUGACACAUGUGAUCAACAUCGAUGUUCGAUUGUACAUGAGGGCCAAUAUGCUAUAUACAUUGGCAAAUACGUAAAUUGCCAUGGCCAAAACGCUCAAUAGAAACAAAAUGAUCUUGGUACGUUGUACGUCAGCAUCUACACCCACAAAAAGACCUUGAUGAGAUCGGUGAUACGAACGAUUUGCACCAAUUAAAAGGAUAAUAAUGGCCAAUAAACGUACAAUAUCCAAAACCAGUAAUGUAAUGCGAAUCGAUGAUGCUUUGGUCGAUGUGGUCAAAACGGGCCAUAUUUCAAUUCCUUGUGACCAAUUGGCCGAUAUUUGCAUACAGAAUUUGAUAGCAAUAAUGGAGACUAUCAGACUGAUAGCCAUCAGGAUCCAGAACCGUGUCUUAUGUAAAUGAGAGGCCAUUAUUACGUCGAGAAAAAUACAGACCAAAUUGAAUGUUACAAACGUAACAUACAUAACCCAAUGUCGACUAAUUAUUGAUAUUAAACCAGCAAUAUUGGUAAGAAGAUAGUAUGCGAUCAUUAUAGUAGUCAAUACCAGAAGAUAAUACUAAUCCAGUUAUAAUAUAACGGUUAAUAGUUAGAUUGGAUCAUCAUCACUAAAAAAUGGUGACUUACCUUUUCCCGUUGAUAUGAUAUAUUAAUUUCAUUCAAACCUAAUCGAUCACCUAGAAAGCCUUGAUAUUGACGUUUAUAGGCAAUAUUUUCAAUAAUACACAAUAUCAUACAAAUAGGAACACGAGCGACCAACAAUAUCAACAAUAACAAACGUAAUGGACCACCACCAUCAUCAUUUGAAUCAUCACUUACUUUUACUGCGUUGGCAGACAUUUAUGUUGUGUGAAUAGAUAAUAUCGCUUUGUGGCUUUCGAUCUUGGUUAAUUAUCACUACCACCCACCACCACCAAAAAAAAAACAACACUUUUUGAACUUGUGAGAUGAUUAUUGAAGAAAAAAAUUCAGAUUUAUUAACAACAAACACAGAAUUUUAUUAAAUGACGAAAUAUACAAA